Molecule: ribosomal RNA, 253 nt
Filed under: uncultured bacterium
Lineage: Bacteria
Description: partial 16S ribosomal RNA
Rfam family: Bacterial small subunit ribosomal RNA
Source: RNAcentral
UACGUAGGGUGCGAGCGUUAAUCGGAAUUACUGGGCGUAAAGCGUGCGCAGGCGGUUUUGUAAGCCAGAUGUGAAAGCCCCGGGCUUAACCUGGGAAUGGCAUUUGGGACUGCAAGGCUUGAGUGCGGCAGAGGAGACUGGAAUUCCUGGUGUAGCAGUGAAAUGCGCAGAUAUCAGGAGGAACACCGAUGGCGAAGGCAGGUCUCUGGGCAUUAACUGACGCUCAUGCACGAAAGCGUGGGGAGCAAACAGG